UUCUGCACAUACCUGGAGUGGCUGUCUGCCCUGGCUCCUCGGUACAGGAAAGGGGAAGGGUGGAGAGUGAAAGAAGCCCAGGCUGACCCAACCAGGACCGCCUUCUCCCUCAGACCGAGUAGUGCAGACCCCAGGGCCUCCACCUUCAGACCCAGGAGUUCAGAUCCCCAGCGCCCUCCUCCCUCAGACCCAGGAGGAGUCCAGGUCCCCAGCGCCCUCCUCUCUCAGACCCAGAAGUCCAGGCCCCCAGCACCCUUCUCCCUCAGACCCAGGAGGAGUCCAGGCCCAGGCCCCAGCACCCUUCUCCCUCAGACCCAUGAGUCCAGGCCCCCAGCGCUCUCCUCCUUCAGACACAGGAGUCCUUGCCCCCAGCGCCCUUCUCCCUCAGACCCAGGAAUCCAGGCCCCCAGUGCCCUCCUCUCUCAGACCCAGGAGUUCUGGAAUUCAGGCUCUUCCUUCUCGGGUACUAAGAAAUGCAGACUCCGGGUUCCUCAUCCUCCAGAUUUGGGGUGGGGGUUCCGGACUCCGAGACCCCUCAGGGGAAACCGGCUGCAUAUCUGGGACACUUCCCUCUUGCCUCAGUUUCCUCCGCCAAGC
RNAcentral lists this long non-coding RNA (597 nucleotides) under Pongo abelii (Sumatran orangutan). RNAcentral describes it as "lincRNA". The record is from RNAcentral. Lineage: Eukaryota; Metazoa; Chordata; Mammalia; Primates; Hominidae.